GUCCUGGCCUGGAGAAUUCAGGGUCACAGAGUCGGAUGCGACUGAGUGACUUUCACUUUCUUUCUUUUUUCAGCCCAUCAAGCUGGGUGCAAGGUUCUUGGGCCACAGUGAAACGUAGUGAUGGCUUUCAGUGGCACAGAAGGAGCAGGGAGUGUGACUGUCAGCCCCAAAGGCACUGUGGCACGGUAGAAGGAUGCGGGGGUCGCCUCUGGAGCCCAGACACAGGGUCGCCUGAUGGCGGUGGGUGCAGUGCAGCGCAGGAUCCAGGAAUGGCCCCUAGGACGCACCCUAUGUCCCUCUAGCCCUGGUGAUGGACCCACAGUGGACAGAUCAGUGUUGCGCACGGGACUACGGCUGCUACUGCUGGUCUUGGUAUGCUGCUGCGGCCAUCCAGCACCCCUCUGGGGAGAAGUUGUCUGGGGAUGAGUCCAGUGCAGAAGAGAGCAGUGAGAGAGAGCCGGAGGCGAUGCCGCUGAAUCCCUGGACCCACCGUGCUUGAAGGUGCCCAGUUCCUCAAUUACGGGAGCCAGGAAAUCAACUGCAAUUUUAAAUUAAAAAACGAGUAAAUAAUUAUUUAAAAGUU
This 583-nucleotide long non-coding RNA is filed under the name Capra hircus (goat). RNAcentral describes it as "lncRNA (ENSCHIG00000007563.1)". The record is from RNAcentral. Lineage: Eukaryota; Metazoa; Chordata; Mammalia; Artiodactyla; Bovidae.